GACGAACGCUGGCGGCGUGCUUAACACAUGCAAGUCGAACGAGGUCCAUGCAGUCGCAAGACUGCGGAAGAUCUAGUGGCGAACGGGUGCGUAACACGUGAGAAACCUGUCCCGGUCUCUGGAAUAACAAGUGGAAACACUUGCUAAUACCGGAUGCCGUCGGACCAUCGCAUGAUGGACUGACGAAAGGGCUACCGGAUCGGGAGGGUCUCGCGGCCUAUCAGCUUGUUGGUGAGGUAACGGCUCACCAAGGCAUCGACGGGUAGCUGGUCUGAGAGGAUGAUCAGCCACACUGGGACUGAGACACGGCCCAGACUCCUACGGGAGGCAGCAGUGGGGAAUCUUGCACAAUGGGCGAAAGCCUGAUGCAGCAACGCCGCGUGCGGGAAGAAGGCCCUAGGGUUGUAAACCGCUUUCAGCAGGGAAGAAACUGACGGUACCUGUAGAAGAAGGUGCGACCAACUACGUG
This 469-nucleotide ribosomal RNA is filed under the name uncultured bacterium. RNAcentral describes it as "partial 16S ribosomal RNA". It matches the Rfam family "Bacterial small subunit ribosomal RNA", at positions 28 to 507 of the family's 1533-position model. The record is from RNAcentral.